GAAAAUUAUAUGCUAGCCAACCGCAAGCAUACGCCCCGUAAAACUGAACCCAACAGCACACACACACACACACACCCCACCCACAUACCCAUUGUGAGUGUGUGGGGUAUUUUUCAUGCUUUGCCUUCGUCUCGCAUUCAUUACGUGAGUUGCAUGGCGACAAGCACAAGGAUUCACAUCCUUAUUCCCAACCACUUGCCAUUAGCGCAGCAGGCGAAGCACAUUUAAUUUUGUUGUUGAUGUUGUGCCCCCUCCGUUUUGGCAUCUAGCCCCCAAUCCUGCUGCUGUUGGGACUCUCAUCUUGUGGUUUUUUUUUUUGGCAAAUAAAUCAAGUAUUUUUUACAAAUUGUUGUCAUCAUGUUGACAUUUGCGACAUCUUUAUCGGCAUCGAAUUCUGGCCCAGGCCCAUGCAAAAUAGACCCUAAAAAUGUAUGAGUGUUAGAAUGUGUAUGUGGGAGAGACUUGUUAAUGUAAUUGAUGUGCGAGAGAGUGAGAGACAUGUAUAUACAAAAUGCGGAUCAACUUAAAGUGCCCCAAGUUGGGCGCCAAAAGAAAUGGCAACUUCUAAUUUCAAAGACUGACUAUAAUUAUCGGCCAUCAAGCGCAAAACAGGACGUUCAAACUUUUAUGAGAAAUUCAAGACUUCCGACGCUGUUAGCGACAGGCGAUGGGCGGGCGCAAAUUAAAAGGAAAACAAAAUGAAACUGAAGCGAAAAGGAAGCGGGGCGGAGCUGUAAAUGAAAAAUUACAUUUUAUUUUUAUUUAUGUAUUUGCAUUUGCCAUAAAACUCAGCGCAACAUCAUCAGCCGGAGUAGAAAACAACAUCAUGAACGUCGACGUUGCCCAAAUGACUUCCGUUUCCGCUUAAGAUGCAGCCACGCACACACACACACACACACACACACACACACACAAAUAUAUGCAGAGCAUCAGCAUGCAGCGCGCGUCA
This is a non-coding RNA of Drosophila virilis, 949 nucleotides long. Lineage: Eukaryota; Metazoa; Arthropoda; Insecta; Diptera; Drosophilidae. The record is from RefSeq and is a predicted model, not a curated record.